ACCGCCGUCCCCGCCGUUCGCCGCCGCGCUACGUUCUAGCCGCUUUAGUCUAGAACCAAAUAACCCGCCUGAACAAGGAAUCAGUCACCACCGCCACCGUCAGAAUGUUUUGGUACAGUCAUGCACACCGAGGAUAAUUUCGUGGAGUACACCCUGAAUGGAUGCCGUACCAAGGACGCAAGGACUAGUGAGGAGGCGAUGAGCUAGUGUUCGUGUAGUACCGCUUUUGGUAGAUAAGGAAUUUGCCUCUUUUUUAUGUAUGGUUUUUAAGGUAAUCGCAGUGGAUGUGCAUGUAAAAUUUAUGGACCAGAAA
Long non-coding RNA from Syzygium oleosum, 313 nucleotides. RefSeq lists it as uncharacterized. The record is from RefSeq and is a predicted model, not a curated record. NCBI's taxonomy places the organism in Eukaryota, Viridiplantae, Streptophyta, Magnoliopsida, Myrtales, Myrtaceae. The transcript is spliced from 2 exons.